GUAACACGUGAAUCAUCUACCUCCGAGUGGGGAAUAACCUAGAGAAAUCUGGGCUAAUACCGCAUAACACUUACGAGUCAAAGCAGCAAUGCGCUUGGAGAGGAGUUCGCGGCAGAUUAGCUAGUUGGCGGGGUAAUGGCCCACCAAGGCGAUGAUCGGUAUCCGGCCUGAGAGGGCGCACGGACACACUGGAACUGAAACACGGACCAGACUCCUACGGGAGGCAGCAGUGGGGAAUUUUGCGCAAUGGGGGAAACCCUGACGCAGCAAACGCCGCGUGGAGGAUGAAAGUAUCUCGGUACGUAAACUCCUUUCGAUGGGGAAGAUAAUGACGGUACCCAUAGAAGAAGCCCCGGCUA
Molecule: ribosomal RNA, 359 nt
Filed under: uncultured bacterium
Lineage: Bacteria
Description: bacterial SSU rRNA
Rfam family: Bacterial small subunit ribosomal RNA
Source: RNAcentral